Molecule: ribosomal RNA, 360 nt
Filed under: uncultured bacterium
Lineage: Bacteria
Description: partial 16S ribosomal RNA
Rfam family: Bacterial small subunit ribosomal RNA
Source: RNAcentral
CCUACGGGUGGCAGCAGUCGAGAAUCAUUCACAAUGGGGGAAACCCUGAUGGUGCGAAGCCGCGUGGGGGAAUGAAGGUCUUCGGAUUGUAAACCCCUGUUAUGUGGGAGCAAAUUAAAAAGCUAGUACCACAAGAGGAAGAGACGGCUAACUCUGUGCCAGCAGCCGCGGUAAUACAGAGGUCUCAAGCGUUGUUCGGAAUCACUGGGCGUGAAGCGUGCGUAGGCUGUUUCGUAAGUCGUGUGUGAAAGGCGCGGGCUCAACCCGCGGAGGGCACAUGAUACUGCGGGACUAGAGUAAUGGAGGGGGAAGCGGAAUGCGCGGUGUAGCAGUGAAAUGCGUAGAUAUCGAGAAGAACAC